Molecule: ribosomal RNA, 1358 nt
Filed under: Lactiplantibacillus pentosus
Lineage: Bacteria; Bacillati; Bacillota; Bacilli; Lactobacillales; Lactobacillaceae
Description: bacterial SSU rRNA
Rfam family: Bacterial small subunit ribosomal RNA
Source: RNAcentral
ACGCUGGCGGCGUGCCUAAUACAUGCAAGUCGAACGAACUCUGGUAUUGAUUGGUGCUUGCAUCAUGAUUUACAUUUGAGUGAGUGGCGAACUGGUGAGUAACACGUGGGAAACCUGCCCAGAAGCGGGGGAUAACACCUGGAAACAGAUGCUAAUACCGCAUAACAACUUGGACCGCAUGGUCCGAGUUUGAAAGAUGGCUUCGGCUAUCACUUUUGGAUGGUCCCGCGGCGUAUUAGCUAGAUGGUGGGGUAACGGCUCACCAUGGCAAUGAUACGUAGCCGACCUGAGAGGGUAAUCGGCCACAUUGGGACUGAGACACGGCCCAAACUCCUACGGGAGGCAGCAGUAGGGAAUCUUCCACAAUGGACGAAAGUCUGAUGGAGCAACGCCGCGUGAGUGAAGAAGGGUUUCGGCUCGUAAAACUCUGUUGUUAAAGAAGAACAUAUCUGAGAGUAACUGUUCAGGUAUUGACGGUAUUUAACCAGAAAGCCACGGCUAACUACGUGCCAGCAGCCGCGGUAAUACGUAGGUGGCAAGCGUUGUCCGGAUUUAUUGGGCGUAAAGCGAGCGCAGGCGGUUUUUUAAGUCUGAUGUGAAAGCCUUCGGCUCAACCGAAGAAGUGCAUCGGAAACUGGGAAACUUGAGUGCAGAAGUAGGACAGUGGAACUCCAUGUGUAGCGGUGAAAUGCGUAGAUAUAUGGAAGAACACCAGUGGCGAAGGCGGCUGUCUGGUCUGUAACUGACGCUGAGGCUCGAAAGUAUGGGUAGCAAACAGGAUUAGAUACCCUGGUAGUCCAUACCGUAAACGAUGAAUGCUAAGUGUUGGAGGGUUUCCGCCCUUCAGUGCUGCAGCUAACGCAUUAAGCAUUCCGCCUGGGGAGUACGGCCGCAAGGCUGAAACUCAAAGGAAUUGACGGGGGCCCGCACAAGCGGUGGAGCAUGUGGUUUAAUUCGAAGCUACGCGAAGAACCUUACCAGGUCUUGACAUACUAUGCAAAUCUAAGAGAUUAGACGUUCCCUUCGGGGACAUGGAUACAGGUGGUGCAUGGUUGUCGUCAGCUCGUGUCGUGAGAUGUUGGGUUAAGUCCCGCAACGAGCGCAACCCUUAUUAUCAGUUGCCAGCAUUAAGUUGGGCACUCUGGUGAGACUGCCGGUGACAAACCGGAGGAAGGUGGGGGAUGACGUCAAAUCAUCAUGCCCCUUAUGACCUGGGCUACACACGUGCUACAAUGGAUGGUACAACGAGUUGCGAACUCGCGAGAGUAAGCUAAUCUCUUAAAGCCAUUCUCAGUUCGGAUUGUAGGCUGCAACUCGCCUACAUGAAGUCGGAAUCGCUAGUAAUCGCGGGAUCAGCA